Molecule: unclassified non-coding RNA, 376 nt
Filed under: Hevea brasiliensis (rubber tree)
Lineage: Eukaryota; Viridiplantae; Streptophyta; Magnoliopsida; Malpighiales; Euphorbiaceae
Source: RNAcentral
GUAAGUUUUCCCCCUUAAAAAGACUUCACCAAAUAAAGGAAUUAUAUAUAAUUAUAUAUGUAUAUGAGCUGGAUCUUUCAACUCUGACCACAGACACAAGAAAUUAUACUAUUCUACUUCUUUAUUGCUAGUUGUUCACAGAAAGCAUAUGAAAACGAGUAUUCUCUCUGUGUCUUGCAUUUGUAUUACCCUUUGAUUUGAAAUCUCAUGUGUCAAGCUGAAAUCUUGGAUUCUGUUUCCACUCUGCUUCCACAGAUCCAGAGUGAAGUCGAAACUAUAUAAAACAGAUUAUUCCUUGAUUUUGUUUUAUCAAAGUUUUUCUUUCUCAUCUACAAUCAUGUAUGUCUCUCGUAACUGAAUUCCCAAUUCAAAGUAU